GACCGGUUGGCGCAAUGGUAGUACGUUUCUCUCCCAAUCUGACGAACAAUCCCACCAGUCAUACUAACAGCAACUUCUCCAGGCGUAUAGACCUCCUACUCAAACACCAUCCCAUUGGUUGUAGAGGUCAGUCUAGGGUUGCGGGUUCGAGUCCCGUGCUGGUCG
Non-coding RNA from Nemania sp. FL0916, 165 nucleotides. NCBI's taxonomy places the organism in Eukaryota, Fungi, Ascomycota, Sordariomycetes, Xylariales, Xylariaceae. The record is from the annotation of a GenBank genome assembly.